GAAAUGCGAUAAGUAAUGUGAAUUGCAGAAUUCCGUGAAUCAUUAAAUCUUUGAACGCACAUUGCGCCCUCUGGUAUUCCUAAGGGCAUGCCUGUUCGAGAAUCAGUUUAACCAUCAAACCUAUAGGGUAAAACCUUUAUGUUUGGACUUGGGACUUCUGGAUACAGAGACCCUAAUAACAUCUGUUGCCUAGCUCCUACAAAGCUAUGUGAAAGGCAUGACCAUUGAACGCAAGUUCUUAUGAUUGCUCCUAGCAUUUCCUAGUUGGUUUUAGCGCACAAUAAAACUUUACGGAGAGGAAACUCUUUAAGACUUGAUCUCGAAUCAGACAAGACUACCCGCUGAACUUAA
This 351-nucleotide unclassified non-coding RNA is filed under the name uncultured Chytridiomycota. RNAcentral describes it as "sequence contains ITS1". The stretch from base 1 to 105 matches the Rfam family "5.8S ribosomal RNA", at positions 50 to 154 of the family's 154-position model. Lineage: Eukaryota; Fungi; Chytridiomycota. The record is from RNAcentral.